RNAcentral lists this ribosomal RNA (620 nucleotides) under uncultured bacterium. Its description in RNAcentral is "bacterial SSU rRNA". It matches the Rfam family "Bacterial small subunit ribosomal RNA", at positions 338 to 953 of the family's 1533-position model. The record is from RNAcentral.
CCUACGGGAGGCAGCAGUGGGGAAUUUUGGACAAUGGGGGCAACCCUGAUCCAGCAAUGCCGCGUGAGUGAAGAAGGCCUUCGGGUUGUAAAGCUCUUUUGUCAGGGAAGAAACAGCAGCUCUAACACAGACUGCGAAUGACGGUACCUGAAGAAUAAGCACCGGCUAACUACGUGCCAGCAGCCGCGGUAAUACGUAGGGUGCGAGCGUUAAUCGGAAUUACUGGGCGUAAAGCGUGCGCAGGCGGUUAUACAAGACAGGCGUGAAAUCCCCGGGCUUAACCUGGGAAUGGCGUCUGUGACUGUAUAGCUAGAGUGUGUCAGAGGGGGGUGGAAUUCCACGUGUAGCAGUGAAAUGCGUAGAUAUGUGGAGGAACACCAAUGGCGAAGGCAGCCCCCUGGGAUAACACUGACGCUCAUGCACGAAAGCGUGGGGAGCAAACAGGAUUAGAUACCCUGGUAGUCCACGCCCUAAACGAUGCUGACUAGUUGUUGGGAAUUUACAUUCUCAGUAACGUAGCUAACGCGUGAAGUCAGCCGCCUGGGGAGUCGGUCGCAAGNUUAAAACGUCAAAUGAAAUUGACCGGNUAGAGAGNGCGACGGACGACGACGAGGGAGAGG